UACGUAGGGGGCAAGCGUUGUCCGGAAUCAUUGGGCGUAAAGAGCGUGUAGGCGGCCAGAAAAGUCCGCUGUGAAAACUCGAGGCUCAACUUCGAGCUGUCGGUGGAAACUUUCUGGCUAGAGUCCGGAAGAGGAGAAUGGAAUUCCUGGUGUAGCGGUGAAAUGCGCAGAUAUCAGGAAGAACACCAAUGGCGAAAGCAGCUUUCUGGGACGGUACUGACGCUGAGACGCGAAAGCGUGGGGAGCGAACAGG
This 253-nucleotide ribosomal RNA is filed under the name uncultured bacterium. RNAcentral describes it as "partial 16S ribosomal RNA". It matches the Rfam family "Bacterial small subunit ribosomal RNA", at positions 524 to 776 of the family's 1533-position model. The record is from RNAcentral.